GGCCUGGGCCGCAUAUAAAGUCUUGCGAGACCGUUUCUCUUUCCACUUCCUUCUUGCAACUUCGGAUGGCCAUGCGCAGAUCUCGAGCGGCGGUUUCUGCAGAACAGAUGACCAGUGUUCGGCAAACCAUGGCUACUCUUACAAGGUGGUCAUGUGAUACGGGCAUCGUGAGCCUCUGAGAUGUGCUGCAACGUUCUAGAGGCAGAAUCCUGCAGUGGUUCGGACAUCAGUGACCAGAAGAGUUAUUCCGGUCAGUCUGGCAGCUGGACAUGGCCUGAGGACUUGUCUGUGAGCAGGAGGCAGUAGCAGCAUGUCCAGGCUGGUCUGGGGCUGGUGCAGUCAGCGUGGCUACAUGGAUCUAUACUUCUGAUCCUUCCUGUCAGAAUGCUGUUUCCUGUUGAAGAUGGAGGCUGGUGCACGACACCAUGGUGUCUGUGGCCUGGACGAGAUUGAGGACCCCGGACUCUAAACAUGGAGCCUUUGCUGCCCCUGUGGAUGUCUGCAGUACUGCAGACUGGAGUCUCAAACCAAGUCAGGGCCUGUCCUGGAGGGUGUGCUGCAGGGCUGGGAUGCACAUCUACAUGGUAGCUUGGCACGGUCAUGCUGAAAGCAGGUCUGACCCAAACCAGCUUCUCCAGAGGGGCGGAGCUUCACUGGGACCAUGAAGUGCGUUUCCUGUCACUUCCACUUCCUGUUGGCUGAUCUGGGAUGUUGAUGAUGAUAUUUCUGUCAACUAACAGUCUCAGGCUCUUUGCCCCUUGUCCAGCCCCCAGGGCUAUAUUGUUGCCCCCCAGAAUGCCCACUGUUUGGUUCUCCUGUUGGCCCAGAGUGGGGCUGAUGAGCCUGACACGACCCAGGGGUAAGGCUCUGCUCUGGAUUCUGAUGGAGGACCAGUGGGGCUGGUCCUGUGGGCUGGCUCGGGGCAACAGUACCUCCAUAACUGAUAAAACAAUCUGAUCUCAUCCAGACUCAAAACUCCUCCAUCCACAUCAUGAAGUCCCCUUUGACUCAUCUUCCUCUUCUCUCCCCAGACUGGUUCUGGCUUCUAGAAGCCUCCUGGUUGUGCUGAGCGUGGCUACAUCGAUCUAUACUUCUGAUCCUUCCUCCUGUCAGGUGUGGAUCAUGGAGAGGAUGUUCAUCGUCCAGCUGAGAUGGGGAGGAGGGAGAUUCAUACCUCACACCAUACUUGACUAAUUUGAACUGACAUGCAGAUUUAUUACAUGCAUAAUAAAAUGGUCAAGCUUCA
Molecule: long non-coding RNA, 1246 nt
Organism: Osmerus eperlanus (European smelt)
Lineage: Eukaryota; Metazoa; Chordata; Actinopteri; Osmeriformes; Osmeridae
Exons: 15
Source: RefSeq, a predicted model, not a curated record